UCCCUCGAGCCGGAUUUGAACCAGCCUCCUAAGGAUCACCGUUGUAACAUCUACAGUCCUCCGCUCUGCCAACUGAGCUAUCGAGGG
This is a non-coding RNA of Cordylochernes scorpioides, 87 nucleotides long. The record is from the annotation of a GenBank genome assembly. NCBI's taxonomy places the organism in Eukaryota, Metazoa, Arthropoda, Arachnida, Pseudoscorpiones, Chernetidae.